Molecule: ribosomal RNA, 465 nt
Filed under: uncultured Klebsiella sp.
Lineage: Bacteria; Pseudomonadati; Pseudomonadota; Gammaproteobacteria; Enterobacterales; Enterobacteriaceae
Description: bacterial SSU rRNA
Rfam family: Bacterial small subunit ribosomal RNA
Source: RNAcentral
CCUACGGGGGGCAGCAGUGGGGAAUAUUGCACAAUGGGCGCAAGCCUGAUGCAGCCAUGCCGCGUGUGUGAAGAAGGCCUUCGGGUUGUAAAGCACUUUCAGCGGGGAGGAAGGCGGUGAGGUUAAUAACCUCAUCGAUUGACGUUACCCGCAGAAGAAGCACCGGCUAACUCCGUGCCUGCAGCCGCGGUAAUACGGAGGGUGCAAGCGUUAAUCGGAAUUACUGGGCGUAAAGCGCACGCAGGCGGUCUGUCAAGUCGGAUGUGAAAUCCCCGGGCUCAACCUGGGAACUGCAUUCGAAACUGGCAGGCUAGAGUCUUGUAGAGGGGGGUAGAAUUCCAGGUGUAGCGGUGAAAUGCGUAGAGAUCUGGAGGAAUACCGGUGGCGAAGGCGGCCCCCUGGACAAAGACUGACGCUCAGGUGCGAAAGCGUGGGGAGCAAACAGGAUUAGAUACCCUUGUAGUC